GGACCGGUGGCAGAGCCGGGUUAUUGCAGCGCUGAGAUGCCAGAUGCCGUGCACGCGCGGCGGCGCGAAGGCGCGUGGGGCCACCGGCGUGCCAUGCCCCACCAGGGGUUCGAAUCCCCUCCGGUCCG
Molecule: transfer RNA, 128 nt
Filed under: Micromonospora echinofusca
Lineage: Bacteria; Bacillati; Actinomycetota; Actinomycetes; Micromonosporales; Micromonosporaceae
Also listed under: 1 other name
Description: tRNA-OTHER
Rfam family: tRNA
About the family: Transfer RNA (tRNA) molecules are approximately 80 nucleotides in length.
Source: RNAcentral